GAGUUUGAUCGUGGCUCAGGACGAACGCUGGCGGCGUGCUUAACACAUGCAAGUCGAGCGAGGCCCUUCCUUCGGGAAGGUGCCCUAGCGGCGAACGGGUGAGUAACACGUGGGCAACCUGCCCCUAGCACUGGGAUAACUCCGGGAAACCGGGGCUAAUACCGGAUAUGACCUUCGAGGGCAUCCUCGAUGGUGUAAAGGAUUCUGGCUAGGGAUGGGCCCGCGGCCUAUCAGCUUGUUGGUGGGGUAACGGCCUACCAAGGCGACGACGGGUAGCCGGCCUGAGAGGGUGACCGGCCACACUGGGACUGAGACACGGCCCAGACUCCUACGGGAGGCAGCAGUGGGGAAUCUUGCACAAUGGGCGAAAGCCUGAUGCAGCGACGCCGCGUGAGGGAUGACUGCCUUCGGGUUGUAAACCUCUUUCAGCAGGGACGAAGCGAAAGUGACGGUACCUGCAGAAGAAGCACCGGCCAACUACGUGCCAGCCGCCGCUGUAAC
This 501-nucleotide ribosomal RNA is filed under the name uncultured bacterium. Its description in RNAcentral is "bacterial SSU rRNA". It matches the Rfam family "Bacterial small subunit ribosomal RNA", at positions 9 to 524 of the family's 1533-position model. The record is from RNAcentral.